Molecule: ribosomal RNA, 497 nt
Filed under: uncultured bacterium
Lineage: Bacteria
Description: partial 16S ribosomal RNA
Rfam family: Bacterial small subunit ribosomal RNA
Source: RNAcentral
GAUGAACGCUGGCGGCGUGCCUAAUACAUGCAAGUCGAGCGAACAGACGAGGAGCUUGCUCCUUUGACGUUAGCGGCGGACGGGUGAGUAACACGUAGGUAACCUACCUAUAAGACUGGGAUAACUUCGGGAAACCGGCGCUAAUACCGGAUAAUAUUUCGAACCGCAUUGUUCGAUAGUGAAAGAUGGCUUUGCUAUCACUUCUAGCUGGACCUGCGCCGUAUUAGCUAGUUGGUAAGGUAACGGCUUACCAAGGCAACGAUACGUAGCCGACCUGAGAGGGUGAUCGGCCACACUGGAACUGAGACACGGUCCAGACUCCUACGGGAGGCAGCAGUAGGGAAUCUUCCGCAAUGGGCGAAAGCCUGACGGAGCAACGCCGCGUGAGUGAUGAAGGUCUUCGGAUCGUAAAACUCUGUUAUUAGGGAAGAACAAACGUGUAAGUAACUGUGCACGUCUUGACGGUACCUAAUCAGAAAGCCACGGCUAACUACGUG